GUUUAUAUAGUUUAACAAAAACAAUGGUCUUGUAAAUCAUAAUUAGGUUUUAACCUUUUAAACU
Molecule: transfer RNA, 64 nt
Filed under: Cosmoscarta mandarina
Lineage: Eukaryota; Metazoa; Arthropoda; Insecta; Hemiptera; Cercopidae
Description: tRNA-Thr
Rfam family: tRNA
About the family: Transfer RNA (tRNA) molecules are approximately 80 nucleotides in length.
Source: RNAcentral